Molecule: ribosomal RNA, 137 nt
Filed under: uncultured eukaryote
Lineage: Eukaryota
Description: partial 18S ribosomal RNA
Rfam family: Eukaryotic small subunit ribosomal RNA
Source: RNAcentral
UGGUGGAGCGAUCUGUCUGGUUUAUUCCGAUAACGAACGAGACCGUGACCUACUAAAUAGUGUGCACAUCGCUUUUGUGUGCAUCACUUCUUAGAGGGAUAAGCGUUAUUGAAGACGCAUGAAAUACGGCAAUAACA